RNAcentral lists this unclassified non-coding RNA (246 nucleotides) under Hevea brasiliensis (rubber tree). The record is from RNAcentral. Lineage: Eukaryota; Viridiplantae; Streptophyta; Magnoliopsida; Malpighiales; Euphorbiaceae.
GCCGAGUCCCCUGUGUUGGAGAGAAUGCUAAUCGAUCGACAGUUUCUUGAUCAAGAACAGCUCGAUAGAAGAUUACAGAUAUUCGCAGAGAUAUCAAAUUUUUCGCGGGCAUCGCCUAAAGCAGAAAUUGUCUACAUAGAUUUACGCGGAUCUUUGGCUUAGAAGUUGAAAGACUGAAAAGAGAAACAAACUUAAUGUAGUAGUAUGACAUACUCGUUUAUUUCUUUACUUGAUCAAUUGCAUGUA